Long non-coding RNA from Oreochromis aureus, 506 nucleotides. RefSeq lists it as uncharacterized. The transcript is spliced from 3 exons. The record is from RefSeq and is a predicted model, not a curated record. Lineage: Eukaryota; Metazoa; Chordata; Actinopteri; Cichliformes; Cichlidae.
UCUUUCUACCCCGCCCCACCGGGCACGGCGGUAGCAGGUGCCGAAACGCCCCCAGAGAACCUCGCUGAAAACGCGGCCAUGCCGAGCGGUGACACUCUGCAGCCGGACUACCGCCUGGUCUCAUCCGUCUUUAUCGCUUCACAGAGGGGUCGGAUGCCAUGAGAUUUCCCACAGGCCCUCACUGGCUCCACGCUGUGAGUAAACCCGUGGUCAAGAGGGGAUAACUAACGGCGGAUAAUGACGUGAUGAUUCCGGUUGUAGAGCCAGCACAGGGGGGCUCCGGGCACCUUUAAUGACCGGUGCUGGAGAGGAAAUCACUGGACUUUAUUGUCUGUGGAGCCGCGUAACACCGGACCGACAGCGGUGCAAAUAAGAAGAAGGGAAGAAAAGAAAAGAAACGUCUCUCUAACAGGUUGCUGAGACAUUCAGUCCGAAAAGGGGGGGUUUGCAGCACAGCAGAGAAUGCUCUCCCCCAGAUGCUGACUUCUAAAGCCAUUAGAAACCUG